UUGGAAAAUUCCCAACUUGUUCCAGUCCUUACCACCUUUUAGGAUCAGACUCUUAAUCUAUUACCUCCCCCAAGUCGGCUAGGUUCUAUUGAUCAGCAGAACUGUAAGGAUUAUUUUUUGAAAUUGGAUUUAUAGGAAAUUAAAAAUAACUUAAUCUAAAGCAUAUUGAAGUCCAUAAAAAUUCUCCCAGUGAUUGGGCUAGGCAUUGGAUCGGACCCUAAAGGCCUGUCUUCUGGAAUAUGCAUAGCAUCUAUGUUGCAUGUCCUAAGCCACUGGCACCACCCGAACGGCUCCUUUUUAAAAUGAAUGGCUGAGUUCACCGUGAU
This 326-nucleotide long non-coding RNA is filed under the name Chrysemys picta bellii (western painted turtle). Its description in RNAcentral is "lncRNA (ENSCPBG00000026667.1)". The record is from RNAcentral. Lineage: Eukaryota; Metazoa; Chordata; Testudines; Emydidae.